GACGAACGCUGGCGGCGUGCCUAAUACAUGCAAGUAGAACGCACAGUUUAUACGGUAGCUUGCUACACCAUAGACUGUGAGUUGCGAACGGGUGAGGGACGCGUAGGUAACCUGCCUGGUAUCGGUUGAUAACUAUGGGGAACGAUCGCUAUUAUCGCAUAAUAUUAAUUGUUGCAUGGUAAUUGAUUGAAAGGUGCAAAUGCACCACUACCAGCUGGCCCUGCGGUGUAUUAGCUAGUAGGUGAGGUAACGGAUCACCUAAGCGACGAUACAUAGCCGACCUGGGAAGGGGAACGGCCAAACUGGGACUGAGACACGGCCCAGAACUCUACGGGAGGCAGCAGUAGGGAAUCUUCGGCAAUGGACGGAAGUCUGGCCGAGCCACGCCGCGUGAGGGAAGAAGGUUUUCGGAUCGGAAAGCUCUGUUGUAAGAGGAGAACGGGUGUGAGAGUGGAAAGUUCACACUGUGACGGUAUCUAACCAGAAAGCGACGGCUAACUACGUG
RNAcentral lists this ribosomal RNA (505 nucleotides) under uncultured bacterium. RNAcentral describes it as "partial 16S ribosomal RNA". It matches the Rfam family "Bacterial small subunit ribosomal RNA", at positions 28 to 507 of the family's 1533-position model. The record is from RNAcentral.